This is a long non-coding RNA of Lagopus muta (rock ptarmigan), 1692 nucleotides long. RefSeq lists it as uncharacterized. The transcript has 2 exons. NCBI's taxonomy places the organism in Eukaryota, Metazoa, Chordata, Aves, Galliformes, Phasianidae. The record is from RefSeq and is a predicted model, not a curated record.
UGGGGUCUUUUUUUUUUUGUUUUCUCAUCAAUUUCAGGUCAGAUUCUCUGCUUAAAUGUCAAAUUCUGCAAUUUCAGAGGUCACGUGACCUCCAAAAUAUGGAAAUUUGGCUAUUUUGGGGCUCACGUGACAGCAGAGGCAUCCAAUAGGAAAACAUGAGAUUUUGGGGGGGAAAAGAGGGGAGAUUUGGGUCAGGCGGCCUCAAUUUCUUCCCCUUGGUUUUUUCUGGGUCCUUUGGGGAUCAAAACAACCCCUAAAAAACCCAUUUUUGGGGUCUUUUUUUGUUGUUCUCAGCAAUUUCAGGUCGGAUUCUCUGCUUAAAUGUCAAAUUCUACAAUUUCAGAGGUCACGUGACCACCAAAAUUUGCAAAUUUGGCUAUUUUGGGGCUCACGUGACAGCAGAGGCAUCCAAUAGGAAAAUAGGACAUUUUGGGGGGGGAAAAGAGGGGAGAUUUGGGUCAGGCGACCUCAAUUUCUUCCCCUUGGUUUUUCUGGGUCCUUUGGGGAUCAAAACAACCCCCAAAAAAACCAUUUUUGGGGUCUUUUUUUGUUGUUCUCAGCAAUUUCAGGUCGGAUUCUCUGCUUAAAUGUCAAAUUUUGCAAUUUCAGAGGUCACGUGACCUCCAAAAUAUGGAAAUUUGGCUAUUUCGGCGCUCACGUGACAGCAGAGGCAUCCAAUAGGAAAACAGGAGAUUUUGGGGGGGAAAAAGAGGGCAGAUUUGGGUCAGGCGACCUCAAUUUCUUCCCCUUGGUUUUUGUGGCUCCUUUGUGGAUCAAAACAACCCCUAAAAAACCCAUUUUUGGGGUCUUUUUUUAUUGUUCUCAGCAAUUUCAGGUCAGAUUCUCUGCUUAAAUGUCAAAUUUUGCAAUUUCAGAGGUCACGUGACCUCCAAAAUUUGCAUAUUUGGCUAUUUUGGCGCUCACGUGAUAGGAGAGACAGGGCCGUAAUGGAGGCAUCCAAUAGGAAAAUAGGAGAUUUUGAGGGGGAAAAGAGGGGAGAUUUGGGUCAGGCGACCUCGAUUUCUUCCCCUUGGUUUUUCUGGGUCCUUUGGGGAUCAAAACAACCCCUAAAAAACCCAUUUUUGGGGUCUUUUUUUUUGUUUUCUCAGCAAUUUCAGGUCGGAUUCUCUGCUUAAAUGUCAAAUUUUGCAAUUUCGGAGGUCACGUGACCGCCAAAAUAUGGAAAUUUGGCUAUUUUGGGGCUCACGUGACAGCAGAGGCAUCCAAUAGGAAAACAGGAGAUUUUGGGGGGGAAAAGAGGGGAGAUUUGGGUCAGGCGGCCUCAAUUUCUUCCCCUUGGUUUUUGUGGCUCCUUUGGGGAUCAAAACAACCCCUAAAAAACCCAUUUUUGGGGUCUUUUUUUUGUUGUUCUCAUCAAUUUCAGGUCGGAUUCUCUGCUUAAAUGUCAAAUUCUACAAUUUCAGAGGUCACGUGACCGCCAAAAUUUGGAUGGGUUUUGAUAUUUCGGCGCUCACGUGACCUCCAGCCAUAACGGGGCCCCAUCGGAGCCUGCGGAAGCUCAACCUGGUUACCUCCAUAGGCAGCAAUUAAUAAAUGCUGAUUGUUGUGCGUAAUUAACGAGGAGAAGUGCGCGGGGUCGUCUUGCUUCCGUCCCCAUCAUGGCGUCGUUACAGAGCUGGGUAAACUGGGGCUUCCACUUCCAUCCUUACGGGGUUGGGGACGAGGCUGGAA